RNAcentral lists this ribosomal RNA (497 nucleotides) under uncultured bacterium. Its description in RNAcentral is "partial 16S ribosomal RNA". It matches the Rfam family "Bacterial small subunit ribosomal RNA", at positions 28 to 507 of the family's 1533-position model. The record is from RNAcentral.
GAUGAACGCUGGCGGCGUGCCUAAUACAUGCGAGUCGAGCGAACAGACGAGGAGCUUGCUCCUCUGACGUUAGCGGCGGACGGGUGAGUAACACGUGGAUAACCUACCUAUAAGACUGGGAUAACUUCGGGAAACCGGAGCUAAUACCGGAUAAUAUAUUGAACCGCAUGGUUCAAUAGUGAAAGACGGUUUUGCUGUCACUUAUAGAUGGAUCCGCGCCGCAUUAGCUAGUUGGUAAGGUAACGGCUUACCAAGGCAACGAUGCGUAGCCGACCUGAGAGGGUGGUCGGCCGCACUGGAACUGAGACACGGUCCAGACUCCUACGGGAGGCAGCAGUAUGGAAUCUUCCGCAAUGGGCGAAAGCUUGACGGAGCAACGCCGCGUGAGUGAUGAAGGUCUUCGGAUCGUAAAACUCUGUUAUUAGGGAAGAACAAAUGUGUAAGUAACUAUGCACGUCUUGACGGUACCUAAUCAGAAAGCCACGGCUAACUACGUG